UACAGAGGGGGCAAGCGUUGUUCGGAAUUACUGGGCGUAAAGGGCGCGUAGGCGGCCUUCUAAGUCGAACGUGAAAUCCCCGGGCUCAACCCGGGAACUGCGUCCGAUACUGGAAGGCUUGAAUCCGGGAGAGGGAUGCGGAAAUUCCAGGUGUAGCGGUGAAAAUGCGUAGGAUAUCUGGAGGAACACCGGUGGCGAAAGGCGGCGAAUC
RNAcentral lists this ribosomal RNA (211 nucleotides) under uncultured bacterium. RNAcentral's name for it is "partial 16S ribosomal RNA". It matches the Rfam family "Bacterial small subunit ribosomal RNA", at positions 524 to 728 of the family's 1533-position model. The record is from RNAcentral.